RNAcentral lists this small nuclear RNA (104 nucleotides) under Carlito syrichta (Philippine tarsier). Lineage: Eukaryota; Metazoa; Chordata; Mammalia; Primates; Tarsiidae. The record is from RNAcentral.
GUGCUCACUUAACAGCACAUAUUCUAAAAUUAGAACAAUACAGAGAACGUUAGCAUGGCAUUGUGCAAGAUGGCAUGCCAAUUCUUGAAGCAUUCCAUAUUUUU